UCCUUCCCUCCCUCCUCCCCGGACAGGAAGCGUCUACGUAUACGUGCAUACAUAUGUAUCUAUGCAUGCAUAUAACCACACGCCAGGCCUCUUCCUCUAGUUCGUUUUUCUUCUCUUUCGUGCCCUGGCUUUCGUAGUCUCUCUCGCUCUUUCUCUCACGCCCACCCCGAGCGGCACAGCCUGUGCUAGACCUCGACAUCCAUCAGCUGCCCAUCCCGCUCCGCCGCCGUGCUGCAUAUAUGACAAACCCCUUUCUCGCGUUCUCCCUUCUCUCGUUGCCUUUCCACCUUGUUGCUGCCUUCUCCAUCGAGCUCACGCACCCACUAACAGACACACGCACGCACGUUCGCACGGACGAGGUGGCGGCAGCAGUUAUGUGCAUUUUACAGUUUCACGUGACUGUAUCGUCGUCGCUUCGUCUCUUGAAGCUCUCUCUCCACACCCCACUGCCUUCUCCCGCUUUUCCACCUACCGCACGCUGUUCUCUGUGUUGACCAUCAUCAUCCUUUGUUUUCCUUCUUCUAUGUAUGUGUAUGCGCGUGCCUGUGUUUGCAUGUUGGUACGCUGCUUGGGUGUGGGUAACGCCCGUGACAUCAUCUCUUUGCAUCGCAUUUACAUGCCUGGUUGCUUGAGCAGGCUUCGAAUGUGUGCUUGCGUGUGCGUGUCUCAUGUGCAUGCUUACUUGUGUAUGUACAGUGCGGCAUUUGUUGGUUGACUAAUUCGCUUGUGUGCGGAGCCACACCCACACCCACACACACACACGCACGCAUCUCUUACACAUACAGCACAUCCACGGUCGUCAAGUAGCUGCUUCUUCUGCCUCUCUCCCUCUUUUUUUUUGUCUUUGUUUCGACGUCUUCCUUCUCUGCUUCCUGCUCCCUCGCUCUACACACCGUGCGUCGAGCACUCAUCUAUUCUCCCCUUCCCUAGCUCCUGUACACCGCUGUCGCGACCACCACCACCACCGCUGCUGCAUCUGGCGUGCACCGCUUGCCGGGGGCCCUCCAUGUAGUGGUGGUGCUGCGUAUCUUUUUUUCCUUUCGUGCGUUUGAUUGUCUGCCGUGCCAAGCCCCUCCUCGCUCAUCUCGACUCUCUCUCGCUCACUGCAUGUGCAUCUCUUCGUUGGUGUCUCUCCUACUCUUCUCUCGUUUCGAAUUCGUUUGUGUGCUCUUGUCUUGCCUUCAUCUCUUUGGUGGCCGGCGCGUCUCCCUUUUCCUUCACGCCCCCACCAUCAUCUUCGUGUGCACUCCUGCUCAGCUCUUCUAUUGCCGCUGCAGUGUGUGCGUGUGUGUGUACGUGUGGAAGGGAGGGGGUCUGUCUCUUCCCGCCAAUCGCCUCCCACCACCCGCCGCCAGAGACGCGCUCGUAUUUGCGAUACAACCUCGACCCCCCCCCCCCCCCCCAGCCGUUCUUGCGCUUCUUCCCUGCUCUGAAACGGUGCGUGUGCCCUCCGAAGCUACGGUGGCGCUGGUGUCGAAGCACGAAGAGGCCGGCACCGUCGCUGCUGUCUCGCCUUCGAUACCGUCGUCUCUCUCAGUCGCGUCAUCAAGUCACAAGGAGAUGCGAGAGGAACCGCGGCGGCGCCGAGCCGAGGUCGCCGAAGACGUGCGCGUUCAGCAACAUCGAGCCACGUCGGUGCCCACGUCCCCGCUGACGCCGCCGCUUCUGCUCCAGCGGAAUCGAGAGGUAGUGGCGCUGGGCAACUACACAUCGAGAGGGGUCGAGGGGUCUGACGAAGGCAGCGUGAGCACGACCGUCACCUCCAACGUGACUGACCGUGCUGGGCCCGCGGGAAACUGCAAGAGCGGAACUCUCCACUCCAGCAGCUCCCGCGUACUGGACUUGACGCCAUUUGCUGAGAGCGCCGAGGACGACCGGGACGACCGCGGGAGCAAGUGGGACCGCACCGCCGCUUUCGGCAUCCCCGCGCCAGCGACCUUGCGCAUAUCGACCUACCGCACGACUGCUGACAUCACUACCGAUCGCACGAGGAACAGCAAAAACAGCAGCAGCACUUGCUUGCAUCUUGGAGAUGCGUGGCAGGAGCGGGAGAAGAGCUCGCCAGAUGCAAACACAGCUGCGAUCCUCACAGCGGGAAUGACGCCGCCUUUCUCAAUCUCUCUCUCGUCCGACUCGUUGUCGUGCGCUAUGCCGAGCGUGAGGAGAUCCUCCCCCGAGCUGGUGAGACGCGGGAACGGCACGACACGACAGCUCUCUCGCAAGUGUCUACGGAACGCAAAUUCGGCGUGCGGUGAUAGCGGUCGCUGCACUGGACCUGUGGCGCGCACCACUACGCCGACGACGGCACCGUCUACCGCCCUUCUCUCUUCCUCUUACGUGGCCUGCUUCCAGGGCCACAACGCCAUGCCCAUCAGUGACAAGGACGGGGACAGCUCGCUGCGUCUCCGUCCGCGCCGAUGCCGCGGCGGCAGCAGCUGCGGCUCGUACGAGCACUGGACCAUGAAGCCGCGACUUAGCGGCGUCAACGAGGUUCUGCUACAGAGUGCAUCUGCAUCCGGCGAGCCUCAGCUAUUCCGCCAGGCGCUCGCUGCCUUUCAGCUGUGGGACACCCUACUGCGCCUGGAGCUGCACAGCAACAGCGCAGGCGGCACGUACAUGGUGCGACUUGCAAGGCCGUCGUCCUCAUCGGCGACGGCGACUUUCGCGGCGACCGACAGCGACAGCCAUGGCGCCGUGGUGGCUGUGUUCAAGCCAUGCGAUGAGGAAAUCGGCCAGGAGAGCAACCCACACGCGAAUCGUGAAAGCGACCGCACGGAGACAUUUGCCCCCGGCAGCGGCAGCCGGCGUGAGGUGCUCGCGUACCUCCUCGAUCACGGACACAACGCCGGGGUGCCGCCGACGCUGGAGGUGGCAUCGACCUACUGGGCCGGGGUGGGUGCGACAACAGCCAACAGCAACGGGGGUGGUGGUGCUGCUACCGCGAGCUUGUCCACAGGCACACUGGGCGCGGUGGCAGGAGGUGGAGAUGCCCCUGCGAACAGCGGCCUUCGGAGUUCACGCACGGGUGGGACAGACUGGAGAGGUAUCGGCGCUGACGAUGGCGACAGCGUUGCCGCUCGAGUGGCAGCAUCUACGCACCUCCGGAUCGGCAGCUUGCAGCUUUUCGUGCCUGGCUGUGAAGAGGCCGCGGACGUUCUCCCCGGCCACUUCGACGUCGACGAGGUGCACGCGCUUGCCAUCUUCGACAUCCGCACCCUGAACGGCGACCGACACGGCGGCAACGUACUUGUCUGCAACUAUCACCGCUGCCGCGACGGAAGAAAGCCCGUCAUGGCACGUCGUCCGCGGUGCGCCCGCCUAGCUAACGCUGCGGGGAGCGACGGGACUGCAUCGUCGCCUUCGGCGUCUUCGACAGCGGCCCGAUUGUCACCUGAGAUGCCCGCGACCAUCACCACGGCCAAGGAAGACGUUCCGCAUUUGAUCCCGAUCGACCACAGCUAUAUCUGUCCGUCCGGCUACGCCGAUCCGGACUACGAGUGGCUGUCAUGGCCCCAAUCCAAGAAGCCGUUUUCGGAGCGCAAUCUGAACUACAUCGCCGCCCUGGACGCAGUGGCAGAUGCGGAGCUGGUGCGAUCAGCGCUCCUCGCACACAGCGGCGUCCCCACCCACGAUGUGUCGACGCCGCGAACAAGCGCAGUCUGCAAUGACUUUGAGAUGGCGGAGGGGCAGCCAGACGCUGCGCUGACGUCGCUGACGCGCGAUGAUGCUCAGUAUGCCAGAGCAGCCAUGGGCUGUGCGACGGUUGACGCAGCGAGUGCAGCGCUCGCGUCGCGUCACCUUCCGCGGGAGUUUUUCGGCCGGGGUGCUGCCGCCGCGAGCUUGGACGAUCUCACGGGGCUCCCGCCUCUGCCGACGGCGUCGACCAAAAGAGCGGUGGCGCCGACAACCAGUGCGGCUGCAGCACCCUGCGCGUCUGGGGCUGCAACCGCGAAGAAAAGCAGCACCAUGGAUGGUGGCGCUGAGGCCCCCUCCGGCCAUCCGUAUGUGAGCACUUGGGAUCCAGCAGCUGUAGAGCUGAUGAUCAAUUUCGAUCGAGGCGAUAGUUUGAGCACGGAGGCGAUGCACAAAGACGCUGCUGCUGUCCGUGCUCGUGCAAUGUCGACUGCGUGGUCGGCGUCUUCGUCCUCCUCCACUCCACCCCUUGAAUCCUUGCAUGCCGGACCACGCGAGCAUGCAUCCAACUCUGUCGCGUACGACAGGGACGCGGCCAACACGGCGGCAGAGGUGACGUGCUGCACGACGCGCCUGCUACAGAUCGCAGCCCUUGAGUUUCACAUGACGGCGUACGAGAUCGGAAGUCUGUGCCGGCGCCCGCGCGUCACGCAGGCGUCGGUGCUGGAGGAAGUCCUCGAACAGGCGAGAGAUGAACAGACGUGGGAGCCGGUCUGGUUCAGGCUCGACGAUGUUGUCCGGCAGCGGCUCGCUGACCUCAGCACGUCUGGCCAGUAACGAGUCUGAGGCCUUCGAAUCACGCGUUUGUGGGCGUGCCGAACAGCCGCCCCUGCCAGCGCUCGUGUCGUGCCUGCUGACCCAUCUAUCAACAUCCUCGCCGACAUAUUGUCUCUCCAUCUCUCUCUUGCACUGUUUUCUUUGUAUUCUCCGUUGCACCGUAGGUUUCUAUCCCGGUGCGUGAGAAGGCGUGCGACAAGAGGGGAAGAGGGAAGGGGCGGGCUGCACUCAAACUUCUUGCACCCCCAAAAGAAACUGAGCACCACACCCACGUGCAUCAGCAUCUGUGUCCUUCUCUUCCACAUCGGGUAUGCCGGUCUUCCUCUCCCCGCUCUCCUCGCACCACUUAUCGCUUCCUCCCUCGUUGAUCCUUAUUGUCGAACCGCUUUUCUGCACGCGUGUGUAUGCGUGUGUGUGUGUGUGUCUGCACCACCCCCGCUUCUUCUCUUUCGUUUUUUCUCUGCCCACCCCCAUCACCUUUCUACUGCUGGCCUCCCAUACCGCUGUGUAGCAUCUUGCUCGUCUUGCAGCUGCUUCGCGCGAUCCGUUACCCUCCCCGACCCUGCCGCUACCUGAACUUUCUUCUGUCGCUGCUUUCUCGUCUCUCAUGGACUACACUCUGUCCUUCAGCGCCCCUCCGCCUUUACGUCGAGCGAGCUAGAGGUGAUGGCGUACACCCGACACUGCCCAUACGUUUUUUUUUUAAUGUCUCUUUUUUGUUGUCUAGGGAUGAUCCUCGACGCGUGUGAGGGGCGCAGAACAUUCUAAGGAGCGUCUUUGUGUGUCUGUGUGCUGGCAAACAUGUCUCAUCAUCUCGAUCCCUCAUCCCCAGCCCCUUCCGUCUGUCUCUCUCUCCCGGGGGGGGGAGGGAGGUAGGGAGACAUGCGUACCAGAUAUGGUAAUACCGCUUUUUCUGCUUCUUCGGCCCCCCCUGCCGGCGAGUGGGCACACACCUCCGUGCGUGGCGUCUCACGGUCCCGUACCUCCCCCUCCCCCACUCUGUGGCGAAAGUCAGGCAGCCCCCCACCCCUACCCCUGCCAGUGCCGAGCCGCUUCCGGUGGUGACAGGGUCAGGUGCCUACCCCACAGGGGAGGCCAGCGCGACUCCUGUCCGCAGCCAGGCCCUGGACGGCGUGCUGCUGGAGCGGCCGGCGACUGUGAAGGCGCUUGUGCCGUCCGCGCGAUGGGCCGAGCGUCAGCGCGGCUCGCGCGCACGCCACCCGGUGCUCGCUGCCUGCUGGCGGGGAGCCUUUAUGCGACCCCGAGGGGGUGCACCCGGUGGCGGCGGGCGGGUGGGUGGAUGGGGGGGCACAAUGGGCGCGGCUGCGAGGCGGCCUGCGGGGCGCGGGUGGUGUGCCGACGUUGAGGCGGAGGCCGCGCCCCGGCGACUGUGGCGGUGCAUUGCUGGGAGGCGUGUGUGUCCCGCUGCUUCGCGCCGCGCGAUGACGGUUCUGUGUGGCCGGGCCGGGGGCCAGAGUGGUGGUGGUGGUGGGGGUGGCUGGGCUCGUGCUCCAUGGCGGCGAAUGACCGCGUUGAAAAGCGAAUCGUUGUUUGCGGCCAUCAUUGCCUGCGCAUGUGUUGCUGACGUCUCUCUACCGCCCAGCGUCUCUUUCUCCCCCGCAGCUGUGCUUCAAUAUCUGUGCGUGUUUUGGCGUCUGCGUGCUGCGGACUCCCCACGCCUCCCUCCCCUCCCUCUGUAGCCGCUCGGCAUGACGGCAUGCGGUGGUGUGGGCAGGGUGGUGGAAGAGAGCAAGGCAGAGGGAGCGGGAAGGAGAAGGCGACGACUGCCUUGCAUUAUAGUAGCACGAUUUCGUGUGUGUGUUUAUGGCGCCAAUGUGAUGGCGGCUCGUUGCAAAGGGGGAAGGGGCGGGUGGUUGAGGGGCGGAAGAUGCUGCGCAUUUACGCGUGGGCGAAACUUGAAGGGGCUGAAAGUCUUAACUUGGAUGGGUGUGUUUGUGUGCAUCAGGGCGAGGUGGGGAGCGGGCAGUGAGAUGCACUGUGAAAUGGACGGCAAACACGCCCUCUCCAUCACCGCCCCAUCUACUCGCACACAUCGACGCUCACCUUUGCUUCAUUUCUGUUCGAUCGAAACCGUCAC
This 6568-nucleotide unclassified non-coding RNA is filed under the name Leishmania donovani. RNAcentral's name for it is "gene:LdHU3.27.3160(CDS-product:Phosphatidylinosit ol_3-_and_4-kinase_putative)". Lineage: Eukaryota; Euglenozoa; Kinetoplastea; Trypanosomatida; Trypanosomatidae. The record is from RNAcentral.